UACGUAGGUGGCAAGCGUUGUUCGGAAUUAUUGGGCGUAAAGGGCGCGUAGGCGGUUUGUUAAGUCGGUCGUGAAAGCCCGGGGCUCAACCCCGGAGGGUCGACCGAUACUGGCAGACUAGAGUACAGAAGAGGUAGCUGGAAUUCCCGGUGUAGCGGUGAAAUGCGUAGAUAUCGGGAGGAACGCCUGAGGCGAAGGCGGGCUACUGGGCUGAUACUGACGCUGAGGCGCGAAAGCUAGGGGAGCAAACGGG
Molecule: ribosomal RNA, 253 nt
Filed under: uncultured bacterium
Lineage: Bacteria
Description: partial 16S ribosomal RNA
Rfam family: Bacterial small subunit ribosomal RNA
Source: RNAcentral